Lolium perenne is the source of this 3250-nucleotide long non-coding RNA. RefSeq lists it as uncharacterized. NCBI's taxonomy places the organism in Eukaryota, Viridiplantae, Streptophyta, Magnoliopsida, Poales, Poaceae. The record is from RefSeq and is a predicted model, not a curated record.
GGCCGCUCCCCUAGGGUGUCACACUCCCUGUGAACAAUGGCCUCUACUUCCGCUGCCAAGAGGAGGGCCACCGUGUGAGGAAUUGCCCCAACGAAGCCCAAUGCCGUGCAGAUGUGAUUUCGUGUAUGAGUUUCAUUGUUUCUAUGUGUUAAUUUUGCAGCCUCGUGUUUUUUUUUGGUCUGGCUUAGUAAGCACUGAACCAUACAGUUUAGUCUCAUUUCCACAAUAUUGCUUGAAUAUAGGAUGGCUACAUGAUCAAAUAUAUCUCUGACAAUCAGCUUUUGUUUCUCCAGCUUUCCUUAUGACGAUUAGGCUUGAUUUUUGAAAUCUCUGUAGAGUUGAAGCAUUAAAAAUAGAUGGGUGCUAUUGCUCCGAGAGGAUACUUUCAAGGUGAUAUUGUUUUUUUUUCAUAGAUAAUUGACUGCUCAGUUCUGGCCAUUUUCAAUAUGAAUUCUUAUAUAUAUUUUCUUCUGUGGUCUAUGAAAAGAAAUGACUUGGUGAUGCAUAUACACACCUUUGUACGAAGGUUAUUUAGACAUGGGAGUGAACUGUCAGAUAACACUAAUAACAGAGAUUUGUUAUAUGUUAGUUAAUAUCCUGGCGUUCAAAUGUUUGGUAGUAUCUAUUUCACUUGCACCAGUGUCAACCAUUUUCACCUCUUAUGAGCUAUCAUGUUUGACCUUCGAUCAAUCUUGCAAUAUUCAUCUUACUGCCACCAAGCUUUAUUUUAUAUAUUACAUGUGUUUUACUCUAUAGCUUGCUAGCUUCUUUUGAUUUUCUUUGUAUUAUGUCUUUUCCAGUCGUAGGCCAUUUGCAUGUGUCGUGUCUCUCCAACAUAUGAACUUAACAACCACAAAUAAAAACAACGGUAUCUCAUGCUAAAUUGUGUGUAACCGUCCAAGUGGGGUAUAAAAUCUGAAUAUUGGGGGAUAUAAGCAAAAGAUUUAUGCAAAUCUAAGCAAGCAGCAGAUAUUAAUAUAACUUCCAUAAGUAAUGUAGUACCGACAGGUUAUUCCUACGAUUGAUGGUCAUCCCAAACUAAAGAAAGGAUUAGAAGUACUUCAAUUACUACCCUCAAGGGCGGCAGCCGCAAGGUCAAUGAGAACAAGCUCCUCUCCAAGAAGAAUAGGUCUGUUCCAUCCUUCACUCCGCCGGACGCCGGCGCAUCUUUUUCCUCAGUCGGAAGAGCUUCGGAUUUGGAAGAGGGUGCGGACAAUCAAGGGAGCUGCUGCUGUUACAGCAGCACAACAGCACCACAAGAGACAACAGGAGAAUGAGAAGGAACUGCGGCGCAAGAUUUGAGGGCCUAUUGGUGAGGUGGUUCUUCAGUGCGGGUGAGUCGGUGGCUGUUUACCACAGGUGGCUUUUGUUGGUACUUGGGUUGAUCCUUCAGGCCCAUAUGAUGGUAAGGUGGAUUAAGGAGGUGAUGAAGUCAUUGCGGAGCUUCGUACUGAUUUCCAUCUGGUCCCUGCCAUCUUCUCUACAGUUUCUUAUGUUACAUGGUUUGGCAAUAUGUCAUAAGUUCUGCAGUCCGUUUAUUCUGAUUUUCUUAUCUUACUGAUUUAGGUUAACACCUAUCAUGAUAUUUGUCAUUUAGCAGGACAUAUGUUCUUCAUAUACAAUAUGCAUGACUUCUAAGUUUCAUAAUAUUUGUUUAUUCAAUCACAAGUCUCCUACUUUCUGAUUGCUCUCAUGGCGGUAUUUGCGUAAGCUGAGUACCAAAACUGCAUAUAUAGUGGACAUUUUAUUUAGUAUUUCACACUUGAUUCAUUCGAAUGACUAUAGGCAAAGUAGAUUGGUAUAUAGUUAAAUUUGUUGCUACCUGAGUUCUAUUCUCCUUUGGUAAUCCCAUGUUGCUGAUCUUUGCCUUCAGCCUGGAGUUUUAUUGUGCCGAUGUCGGUGUACUUACCAUCCCUGCUCCGGCUCUCCGCCUCUGCCACAGACGUGCAGCACCGAGACAUGGAGCGCUUGCUACAUGGUGUCACAUACUGACGUCUAAUAUUUUCUCUGCAUGGUUUGCAGAUAGAGACUGAUAUAGAUGAUGACCAGAUCUUAAACUGAGGUCUUCCAAAUUUAUUGAUAAUGCUUCUUCUCUACCACAUUUAUUGACUUAUUCUUCUACACUUUCUACUGAUGCAAACUUUGCAGCCGAGUUACGAGGCAUGACUCCUGCAUGUUUAUUAUGCACAUGCCUCACCAUAUUGUCUUCAUUCUUAAUAUAGGCUAUGUUUAAAUGGAGAUCACAUCAAGAAGAACAUCAGUGUAUAUUUUCUUUAUCUGCUCCCUUACUGCAGGUUAUAAAUAGAUCAAGUUAGUAAUGUAGAGACGGUUGGAUUCAGGGAAAUAUGACCAAUUACAUGAUUCAUUAUAUUGUCUUAAGUGACUAUGGGACUUCGUAUGCUCUUAUCAUUUUGUGUUAAAAAAUAUUGAAUUAAUUGUUUGAAUUACAAGUUUAUUUUGUGGUUUCCUUUUUCUCUCUUUGAUUUGUGUACCUUGGCAAACUAGGGGUUCGGUGCUACCUUUUGCGGGUCUGCUGCAAAGUACCUCGGUUUUCUGAUUCUUUUAUGUCCUAGGCUUUCCUAUUUAUUUUGAGAUGCUUAACUGUAGGUGCCCAGGUUUUCAUAGUUCAUGCCUUCAUGGCAUGUUCACCAAACUUUAGAAACUGCUAUCUUGGAUAUGUUCUUUGGCGUAUCUGAACUUAUGACUGCAAGUAUAUGAGCCAAUUAUUACAUCUUCUUUGAUUUUGCAUUUUGAGGACAGAGCUUUCGUGCUCAUUUCCGCACCAUUUCUGUCCACACAAAACGUUUUCACAAGAGCUUGAUCAUUACUGAGACUGAUAUGAGCUUUGGUAAACUGCAUGUGCAGAGAGCAACGGGUAGAUAGGAAGGUUGCCAACAAGUUCAAGAAAUGAUGGCAAGAAGAGAGGAAGCUGACAAGCAUACACUACAACACCAAAGAAAAGGUGCACUGCAAUUUAUCACGCAUGCCCCCAGAUAAGAGUUGGACACAUUUUUUUCUUUUUUUCAGUGCAACUUGUGAGAAAAAGAAGUCAUCAGCUUCCAACGAUUAUUACUAGCUAAGUAGAACAACAAAUUCUCCAAGCCUCCAAUAGGUCAUUCUUCUAAAGACAAUUUUACAUUAGCUAAGCAGACAGGCUAUUAGUUUUUCCAGUAAUUUGUCUUUAAACCUACUGUAAUUUUAUAGACAUGUAUCUAUCUAUCUUGCUCAUUAUAAUAUUCUCUUUCAUAUA